Molecule: ribosomal RNA, 221 nt
Filed under: uncultured bacterium
Lineage: Bacteria
Description: partial 16S ribosomal RNA
Rfam family: Bacterial small subunit ribosomal RNA
Source: RNAcentral
AUUGAACGCUGGCGGCGUGCCUAACACAUGCAAGUCGAGCGGUAACAGGUGUAGCAAUACAUGCUGACGAGCGGCGGACGGGUGAGUAACGCUUGGGAAUCUGCCUAUUAGUGGGGGACGAACCCGGGGAAACCGUCGGGCGUAAUACCGCAUACGCUCUACGGAGGAAAGACCGGGGACCGCAAGGCCUGGCGCUAAUAGAUGAGCCCAAGUCGGAUUAG